RNAcentral lists this ribosomal RNA (490 nucleotides) under Enterobacter sp. KD. RNAcentral's name for it is "bacterial SSU rRNA". It matches the Rfam family "Bacterial small subunit ribosomal RNA", at positions 777 to 1265 of the family's 1533-position model. The record is from RNAcentral. Lineage: Bacteria; Pseudomonadati; Pseudomonadota; Gammaproteobacteria; Enterobacterales; Enterobacteriaceae.
AUUAGAUACCCCUGGUAGUCCACGCUGUAAACGAUGUCGACUUGGAGGUUGUUCCCUUGAGGAGUGGCUUCCGGAGCUAACGCGUUAAGUCGACCGCCUGGGGAGUACGGCCGCAAGGUUAAAACUCAAAUGAAUUGACGGGGGCCCGCACAAGCGGUGGAGCAUGUGGUUUAAUUCGAUGCAACGCGAAGAACCUUACCUACUCUUGACAUCCAGAGAACUUAGCAGAGAUGCUUUGGUGCCUUCGGGAACUCUGAGACAGGUGCUGCAUGGCUGUCGUCAGCUCGUGUUGUGAAAUGUUGGGUUAAGUCCCGCAACGAGCGCAACCCUUAUCCUUUGGUUGCCAGCGNUCCGGCCGGGAACUCAAAGGAGACUGCCAGUGAUAAACUGGAGGAAGGUGGGGAUGACGUCAAGUCAUCAUGGCCCUUACGAGUAGGGCUACACACGUGCUACAAUGGCAUAUACAAAGAGAAGCGACCUCGCGAGAGCA